CUCGAUUUAUUUGUUCAAAAAAAUUAGGAUCUAGAUAGGAUAAUGAUCUCGAGUCAUAGCAGUAUCCCCAAGUA
Molecule: transfer RNA, 74 nt
Filed under: Fagopyrum dibotrys
Lineage: Eukaryota; Viridiplantae; Streptophyta; Magnoliopsida; Caryophyllales; Polygonaceae
Description: tRNA-Tyr
Source: RNAcentral